RNAcentral lists this ribosomal RNA (546 nucleotides) under Lasiodiplodia sp. B1a0852P30CC336. RNAcentral describes it as "eukaryotic LSU rRNA". The stretch from base 269 to 546 matches the Rfam family "Eukaryotic large subunit ribosomal RNA", at positions 1 to 276 of the family's 3401-position model. The record is from RNAcentral. Lineage: Eukaryota; Fungi; Ascomycota; Dothideomycetes; Botryosphaeriales; Botryosphaeriaceae.
AAAUGCGAUAAGUAAUGUGAAUUGCAGAAUUCAGUGAAUCAUCGAAUCUUUGAACGCACAUUGCGCCCCUUGGUAUUCCGGGGGGCAUGCCUGUUCGAGCGUCAUUACAACCCUCAAGCUCUGCUUGGAAUUGGGCACCGUCCUCACUGCGGACGCGCCUCAAAGACCUCGGCGGUGGCUGUUCAGCCCUCAAGCGUAGUAGAAUACACCUCGCUUUGGAGCGGUUGGCGUCGCCCGCCGGACGAACCUUCUGAACUUUUCUCAAGGUUGACCUCGGAUCAGGUAGGGAUACCCGCUGAACUUAAGCAUAUCAAUAAGCGGAGGAAAAGAAACCAACAGGGAUUGCCUUAGUAACGGCGAGUGAAGCGGCAGCAGCUCAAAUUUGAAAGCUGGCCCUUUUAGGGUCCGCAUUGUAAUUUGUAGAGGAUGAUUCGGCGAGGGCUCCUGCCUAAGUCCCCUGGAACGGGGCGUCAUAGAGGGUGAGAAUCCCGUAUGCGGUAGGUUGCCUUAGCCAUGUGAAUCUCCUUCGACGAGUCGAGUUGUUUG